Molecule: small nuclear RNA, 102 nt
Organism: Mesoplodon densirostris (Blainville's beaked whale)
Lineage: Eukaryota; Metazoa; Chordata; Mammalia; Artiodactyla; Ziphiidae
Source: RefSeq, a predicted model, not a curated record
GUGCUCCCGUUCGCAGCACAGACACUAAGAUGAGAGACACAGAGAUCAGCAUGGGCCCUGAGCAAGGACGACAUGCAAAUCUGUAAACGCUUCUUCCAUUUU